AUGCCGCCGCCUCUCCAGGCCCACCGCAUGCUCCUCUCCCACCGCCGCGCAUCCCCCAUCCCUCGCCGCCGCUUCACCGCGGUUUCUUCCCUCUCCUCCGCCCCCGCCAAGACCCUGGCCCCGGGCCCGCCCGCCUCCUCCAUCCUCUCCAUCCGCGAGUCGCUCCUGUCCGGCGAGAGGACCGUCGCCGACAUCACCUCCGAGUACCUCUCCCGCCUCCGCCGCACCGAGCCGAGCCUGCGCAGCUUCAUCCACGUGGCCGACGCCGCCGCCGAGCGGGAGGCUGAGGAGCUCGACCGGAGGAUUGCCUCCGGUGGGCGGGAUGCGGUGGGGCCGCUCGCCGGGGUGCUCGUCGGUGUCAAGGACAACCUCUGCACCGCCAGCAUGCCCUCCACCGGCGGGUCGCGGAUACUGGACGGGUUCCAGCCCGCGUACGACGCCACGGCCGUGCGGCGGCUGCGCGAGGCGGGCGCCAUUGUGGUGGGGAAGACUAACCUCGAUGAGUUCGGCAUGGGGAGCACCACCGAGGGCUCCGGGUUUCAGGUGACGACAAACCCUUGGGACGAUUCGCGUGUGCCUGGGGGAUCCUCAGGUGGUUCUGCUUCUGCGGUUUCUGCUAGACAAUGUGUGGUGUCCUUGGGGAGUGAUACAGGUGGAAGUGUGAGGCAACCGGCAUCGUUUUGUGGUGUGGUAGGGUUAAAGCCAACUUAUGGCCGGGUAUCUCGUUUUGGCCUCAUGGCUUAUGCUUCAUCACUGGAUGUUGUGGGAUGCUUUGGAUCAUCAGUUUUUGACACUGCAACCAUAUUGUCCGUCAUUGCUGGCCAUGACAAAAUGGAUUCAACCAGUAGCUCUCAUGAUGUUCCAGACUAUAGAUCAGACUUGGCAUCUCUAAGUUUACUAGAAUCAAAACCAUUAAAUAAUGUGAGAAUUGGGAUUAUCCAAGAAACUCUUGGAGAGGGUGUGGAUGCUGGAGUCAUAUCAUCAAUCAGGUCUGCUGCUUCGCAUCUGGAACAGCUGGGAUCAGUAGUGGAAGAGGUUUCGAUGCCUUCAUUUUCUCUUGGCUUACCAGCAUAUUACAUACUGGCCUCUUCUGAAGCCUCGUCUAAUUUGUCACGCUAUGAUGGCAUCAGGUAUGGGCAGCAGGUUUCAGCUGAUGACUUGAAUGAGAUGUAUGGAGAUUCCCGGGCUAAUGGUCUCGGUCAUGAGGUCAAAAUGAGAAUUUUGAUGGGAACUUAUGCAUUAUCUGCUGGAUACUAUGAUGCAUACUACAAACGAGCGCAACAGGUGAGGACGCUGGUUAAGAAAAGCUUCGAAGAAGCUUUGGGAAAAUACGAUAUUCUUAUUUCACCUGCUGCUCCAUCAGCAGCCUACAAGAUAGGUGAAAAGACAAAUGAUCCAUUGGCUAUGUAUGCUGGAGACAUCAUGACGGUGAAUGUCAACAUGGCUGGGCUUCCUGCAUUGGUUGUCCCUUGUGGAUUCGUUGAAGGUGGGUCUGCGGGUCUCCCAGUCGGGCUUCAGAUGAUCGGAUCUCCCUUCAGUGAGGGAAAAUUGCUGAGAGUAGGCCACAUCUUCGAACAAACACUGCCGGAUCUCAGUUUUGUCCCGCCACUGCUGGCAGAUGACUAG
RNAcentral lists this ribosomal RNA (1626 nucleotides) under Triticum aestivum (bread wheat). RNAcentral's name for it is "partial small subunit ribosomal RNA". Lineage: Eukaryota; Viridiplantae; Streptophyta; Magnoliopsida; Poales; Poaceae. The record is from RNAcentral.